This is a long non-coding RNA of Schistocerca piceifrons (Central American locust), 530 nucleotides long. RefSeq lists it as uncharacterized. NCBI's taxonomy places the organism in Eukaryota, Metazoa, Arthropoda, Insecta, Orthoptera, Acrididae. The transcript has 2 exons. The record is from RefSeq and is a predicted model, not a curated record.
CGCAAAAUUUGCGCCACAGCUCCUGGGGUUUACCCAACUAAAGUGAUGCGUCUCGCCUCGGGUCUCCACAUGUUUUGAACUUAUACUUCAAGUAUAAAAGGAAAAAGAAACACGCCCAUCAUUCGUUGAUGCGUUUCUACGGUUGCUGAAGUUUCUGCUUGAAGGUCAACCUCUAUAUCACUUUCCGGUGUAUAUAUACGGCGAAAGGUUGGACUGGAAACAGAGAACAGGCAUCAGCGACGCAGGAUCUGCCCCGACAUGUUUAAGUUACUGCUUGUGAUGUUGCUACUGGCAGCUGUGGUGACCGUCGCUGUCGCCCAGUUUGGAAGGGGCGGCUAUGGUGGCGGAAGAGGCGGCUACGGAAGAGGCGGCUAUGGAGGUGGAAGAGGCGGCUAUGGAGGUGGAAGAGGCGGCUAUGGAGGUUAUGGAAGAGGUGGCAGAGGCGGCUACUACAGAGGAUAACAGGCCGCUCAAACUCUUUUCCUGUACACAGCGUCUGUUCUCCUUCAUUAAACGUCUUCUUCAUCCUC